Long non-coding RNA from Brachypodium distachyon (stiff brome), 744 nucleotides. RefSeq lists it as uncharacterized. The transcript is spliced from 4 exons. The record is from RefSeq and is a predicted model, not a curated record. Lineage: Eukaryota; Viridiplantae; Streptophyta; Magnoliopsida; Poales; Poaceae.
AGGACACCGCCGUCUCUCGUCCUGUCAAAAAAAAACUCGUUCAUCUAGAAAAACAAACAAAAAAAAACUCGUUGUCUCGCGUGUCGCCGCCGCCGCCUUGCCGCGUCUGAUCCGGUGGAAGCUGUCCCGCCCGCGCGCUCCUCUCGCUGUGGCCGUCGUCGCAAUUCACCGCUUACUCUCCUCGGUGCCGGCUCAUCCUCGCCGAUCUACUCCAGCCACCACGCAGGCGCGGUAUUUGGUGGAAGCUGACCCAGCCCACACGCUCUCCAGCUCACGGCCUACGCUCUCCUCGCCGUGGGCAUCGUCGCAGCACGCGCGACCACCUCGUCGUGGAGCGCACUGGUGGAGGCGCGCGUCCACGGAUCCGCGGAGGUCGUACCUAACUGGACAUGGGAGCCCUCAAGCUCCUCCCCAUUCCAUCAACGAGCAAUCAAAUGGUCUGAAGGUCCAACUUCAGGUAUCUCAAACUGAACCUACGAACAAUUGCAAUCUGAGGCUAAAACAUUCAAGAAUGUGAAAAAUUGAAAAGGUUGAACGGUUUAAUGCAGAACAUGACAAACUUGAACAGAAAAAGAGAAAGCUGUUCACAACUCCACAGCAGAAGGAGGAUCCUGGCUCCAAUGGCGCUGUGCGGCCAUAUCCAGCUAGGGGUGCAGCAGCGACCCCUCUUUCAUUCAGUAAACACCUGAAGCGUGCCAAUCUUGCAGUUACCACUGUGGCGCCCUUUGCGAGCUUCUCAACAGG